RNAcentral lists this long non-coding RNA (1069 nucleotides) under Lonchura striata (white-rumped munia). RNAcentral describes it as "domestica (Bengalese finch) lncRNA (ENSLSDG00000011299.1)". The record is from RNAcentral. Lineage: Eukaryota; Metazoa; Chordata; Aves; Passeriformes; Estrildidae.
GUUUUUGGGAUGGUUUUUGGAUGUUUUUGGUUUAUUUUUGGAUGUUUUUGGGGUGUUUUUGGGAUGGUUUUUGGAUGUUUUUGGUUUAUUUUUGGGGUGUUUUUGGGGUGUUUUUGGGAUAUUUUUGGGAUGUUUUUGGGAUAUUUUUGGGAUGUUUUUGGGAUGUUUUUGGGGCUGUUCCAGCGCUGUUUGGGGUUUAUUUUUGGAUGUUUUUGGGAUGUUUUUGGGGUGUUUUUGGGAUAUUUUUGGGAUGUUUUUGGUUUAUUUUUGGAUGUUUUUGGGAUGUUUUUGGGGCUGUUCCGGCGCUGUUUGGGGUUUAUUUUGGGAUGUUUUUGGGAUGGUUUUGGGGUGUUUUUGGGAUGGUUUUGGGAUGGUUUUUGGAUGGUUUUGGUUUAUUUUUGGAUGUUUUUGGGGUGUUUUUGGGAUGGUUUUUGGGGUGUUUUUGGGAUGUUUUUGGGAUGGUUUUUGGAUGGUUUUUGGAUGUUUUUGGGGUGUUUUUGGGGCUGUUGCGGCGCUGUUUUUGGGGUGUUUUUUGGAUGUUUUUGGGGUGUUUUUGGGGCUGUUCCGGCGCUGUUUGGGGUUUAUUUUGGGAUGUUUUUGGGAUGGUUUUUGGAUGUUUUUGGUUUAUUUUUGGAUGUUUUUGGGGUGUUUUUGGGGCUGUUCCGGCGCUGUUUGGGGUUUAUUUUGGGAUGUUUUUGGGAUGGUUUUUGGAUGUUUUUGGGGUGUUUUUGGGGUGGUUUUGGGGCUGUCCGGGGCCGUGGCAGCUGCGCGGAGGCACCGGGGGAUCCCAAAUCCCGUCGGGUUCCUGGCUGGGGUUACUUGAAAUGAAGUUCUGGGGGCGGAUCGAGGAGCGCUAGAACUUUCCCCACGUCUCAAGGCAAUAGGAUUAAUUAAUGAAUGAAUUAAUUAACGUGUAAUUAAACUGUAGAUACUCCUAGGACGGGAAAUUGAUGCCGAUUAUUUUAUUUUGUAUCGUUUUUCCCUUUUUGUGUUGUUUUUCCCCUUUGCCCUCCUUUGCUUUCCCCCAGUGUUUCAAUAAAUUUAUUUUUUAGGAUUCCUAAAAAUGGCA